UGCUGAAAGCAUCUAAGCACGAAACUUGCCCCGAGAUGAGUUCUCCCUGACUCCUUGAGAGUCCUGAAGGAACGUUGAAGACGACGACGUUGAUAGGCCGGGUGUGUAAGCGCAGCGAUGCGUUGAGCUAAGCGGUACUAAUGAACCGUGAGGCUUAACCUU
RNAcentral lists this ribosomal RNA (162 nucleotides) under Escherichia coli. RNAcentral's name for it is "partial 23S ribosomal RNA". It matches the Rfam family "Bacterial large subunit ribosomal RNA", at positions 2769 to 2925 of the family's 2925-position model. Lineage: Bacteria; Pseudomonadati; Pseudomonadota; Gammaproteobacteria; Enterobacterales; Enterobacteriaceae. The record is from RNAcentral.